UCCCAGACUCCUACGGGAGGCAGCAGUGGGGGAUAUUGCACAAUGGGGGAAAUCCUGAUGCAGCGACGCCGCGUGGGUGAAGGAGCGUUUCGGCGCGUAAAGCCCUAUCGGCAGGGAAGAAGGAGGACGGUACCUGACUAAGAAGCCCCGGCUAACUACGUGCCAGCAGCCGCGGGAAUACGUAGGGGGCAAGCGUUAUCCGGAUUUACUGGGUGUAAAGGGGGCGCAGACGGCAGCGCAAGCCAGGAGUGAAAGCCCGGGGCCCAACCCCGGGACUGCUCUUGGAACUGCGCGGCUGGAGUGCAGGAGGGGCAGGCGGAAUUCCUGGUGUAGCGGUGAAAUGCGUAGAUAUCAGGAGGAACACCGGUGGCGAAGGCGGCCUGCUGGACUGCGACUGACGUUGAGGCCCGAAAGCGUGGGGAGCAAACAGGAUUAGAUACCCGCGUAC
RNAcentral lists this ribosomal RNA (448 nucleotides) under uncultured bacterium. RNAcentral describes it as "bacterial SSU rRNA". It matches the Rfam family "Bacterial small subunit ribosomal RNA", at positions 329 to 793 of the family's 1533-position model. The record is from RNAcentral.